CUCCAUGACGAGCGACGAUUGGAAAUUGAGCAGUGAGUGAAUCAGCUAUCAAAAUUCCUCACAUUGUUGGGUGAGCGUUGGGUAAGGCCCGGGUGCGAUUCAGUCAUUUCGUAGGGUACCACGUGGGCACAUCUGUAUGCAACAAGAGCGGGACUGGAGGGUUCGGGAGGUGGGGAGGGAGAAGUUGGCCAUGGAUCCGGAGUUGUGGAGCUGCCUCCUCCAUUUUCGGCACCUAUUGCUCACCACUUACCCCGAUAACGCCGGGAUCCGCCUCCUCCUCCUUCACCGCAGGGCCCAGUCCUUGCCGCUGAUGGGUCACCAGAAGAUGCAAUGGCAGAGGGUAUGUGGCGUAUCGGAAUUCCAUUCACAGACCGAGGAAUUGGGAGAGUUCCGCUAACCACGGCCAGCCGAGUACGCGCGGGCACAGGAUAAUUUUCUAAUUUGUUGGGUCAUUCGGCCUGAAUUGGAGAAUUGAAGUCACAGACGUUGCAUUGAAGAAGUUUAUAUUUUGCAACGUUGUGCUGCUAAGACAGGAGGGUUUGUCCCACAAGGGGUUGGAAAGCAAGAAAUUCUAGAGGUUAUCAAUUUGGGUACCAGUUGGGCUAUUAACAAAUUUCUUCUUGAGAAUGAGAUGACAGCUAUGGAUAAUGAUUGCACUGAUGAGCUUAUUUUUGCUGGUGAUGGUCAGGAUAUUGCAACUUGAGUGAAUGAACAUCACAGGGAUGAGCAAGUCUCCAAUCACAACUAUGCAGUAUCAUAUCUUUUCUCUUGUGGCAUGAGGUCUUGUACUUCUUAUAUGUGCUCAACAUUGAAGCAUUUAUUUCUUCAGGGUCACUUUGAAGGUGCAAGGGCAUUUGGCUCUUCUUCUAUGCUCUCUCGAAUUACCUUCCUGUGUGAAUAGCAUUUGCAGUUCUUUCUGCCUGCUACCUUCUCCUGAAAAUGGGGAAUUUAUAGACUACCGACCGACUGAUUUGCUGAACAUGAAGUUUCUGGCAGUGAGGAUUCAAACGUUUACUUCUAUGAUUUAACUUGGCCAAAGCACACUUGUAAAUAAGCUGCAGGCUGCCCCUUGCAAGAUUUUACUGCACAUAGAAAACCUCAAACUUUAUCUCAGCAAUGCUGAUUUACUUAUUUAUUUAUUUAUUUUGUCACAGCAGGGGCAUGGUUCUUUGAUUAUAAGAGUUGCCUGGAAUCACGGGGAGAACUUGGUGGCAUCAUCUGAUUCAGAUGUAAUAGUAAUUGUUUGGAAGUAAGCAAAGACAGCUUGACUCUUCUAUGCAGUGUCCUGAUUUGAUGGUCUGGAAGGCUUGAAAAACAUUGAUCAAUCUGCUGUAGAGCAUGAAACAUCGAUCUGCUAUGGAGAGACAUUGAUUUGUGCACAAAAAGAAGAGCAAAAAAGAUAGCUGGAGUUGAUCCGGCUGGGAAGUCUUCAAUGCUUAAGUCAGACAAGGUUUUGGAAAACAGUAGAAGCGAGAGAACAAUAGUGUAGAAUAAUCUUAGAUGCAUAUAUGAUAUCCUGAGCUUUCUUUUUAUAUAAAUGUGGAAUCCUUGUUUCAUUGGAGUUGGACUCUUUAGACUCUUGAAUUAUGUGAAAAGCUAUUUCUUGGCUUUCCUUAUCUAGAUUCGUCUACAAACUUGAGUCCAACUGAAAUUGGUCCAUUGCUAUAUCAUAUGUCAACUUGUGAUAGGUAGGCUUAAUUUUGGACAUAUUAUAAUGCCUUCCAUUUCCAUGCCCAAGCCAUUAAUUUUGCUCAACUGAGGAAGUAGCAGUGAGGUAUGAUCCACCUCAUUUUGCUUAUUUUUUAGGUCAUAGCUUAUCUAUUUAGCUCCUGAUGACUUGAGGUGGCAAUUGUGAAUUUUUAACAGAUUGUUUUGGAGUGAUUUAUUUGAAAUCCGAAAAGGCUAACAGUUUGUAUAACAAGAUAUAUGGCAUCUAUCAUAUUGGGAAUGUGAUUGGCCAUGUAGAUCUUUGGUUGCUCUGAGCCAUUGUGAUCUUCUUGUUCUGAGAGCCAUUUCUUAUAUUGAGAGCCGUUGAGGUCAGCUUCUUGACUUGAGAGUUGUUGAGGUCAGCUUCUUGAUUUGAGAGUUGUGAAGGUGUGGACUCUUAGACAUUUGCCCUAAGCUUACAUGACAGUUUUCUAAUAUGGCCAAAAUCAAUCCAUUCACAAGUUGACAUGUGGCAUUACAGAAACUAGUUUCAGUUGGACUCAUAUUUUUAGAUUGAUUUAAAUAAGAUAAGUCGAGAUAGAGUUUUUUAUGUGAUUUAAGAUUUUGAAGACUCUAACAUAAUGGGACAAGGACUCCUCAUUUAUAAAAGAGGAUUCAGGGUAUCCAAUAUGCAUAUGAUAUUGUUCCAUAUUAUUUUUCUUUCUCUUUUGUUGUUCUUUAAAGUCUUGUUUGACUUAAGCAUUGAAGGUUUCUUAGUUGGAUCAGCUUUGAUGACCUCCUUUGCUUUUCUUUUUGUAUGUAGAUCAGCAUCUUUUCAUGAUAGAUCGGUACUUCAUGCUCUAUAAUAGAUUGAUUGAUACCCUUUUUGCUUUCCAGGUUAUCAAAUCAAGUUUUGGCACCAACAGAGUUCUCGAUGAACACAACCAAAUAUAACAAUUCUCGCAGGGAUAUAGUGUCAUUUUCUUUGAUCUGCACAGAUGUGUGGUCUGCACAGAUGUGAUUGGGAAAAAUGAUAUCUUCAAUUCUUCAGCUUAAGCUUUAUGUCUAUUGAUGUAGGUAUUUUGAAAAUAAAGUACUGAAACUCUUGGUAUUUGUUGUUGUGCACAUUUUUUAUGUUGUUUUUUCUUUUAUUUUGCAUUGUUAUUGGGGCCUAUCAAGCUUUUUGCCCAUAGAUGUAGGUAUUGGAAUCGGAGUAUAGGAUACUCUCUUGGUAUUUGUUGCUAUGUCAGUUUUUUAUGC
Molecule: non-coding RNA, 2907 nt
Organism: Elaeis guineensis (African oil palm)
Lineage: Eukaryota; Viridiplantae; Streptophyta; Magnoliopsida; Arecales; Arecaceae
Source: RefSeq, a predicted model, not a curated record